RNAcentral lists this ribosomal RNA (482 nucleotides) under uncultured bacterium. RNAcentral's name for it is "partial 16S ribosomal RNA". It matches the Rfam family "Bacterial small subunit ribosomal RNA", at positions 30 to 507 of the family's 1533-position model. The record is from RNAcentral.
AUUGAACGCUGGCGGCAUGCUUUACACAUGCAAGUCGAACGGUAACAGGCCGAGAGGUGCUGACGAGUGGCGAACGGGUGAGUAAUGCAUCGGAACGUGCCCAGACGUGGAGGAUAACUACUCGAAAGAUUAGCUAAUACCGCAUACGAUCUAUGGAGGAAAGCGGGGGACCGCAAGGCCUCGCGCGACUUGAGCGGCCGAUGUCAGAUUAGGUAGUUGGUGGGGUAAAGGCUCACCAAGGCAACGAUCUGUAGCUGGUCUGAGAGGACGACCAGCCACACUGGGACUGAGACACGGUCCAGACUCCUACGGGAGGCAGCAGUGGGGAAUUUUGGACAAUGGGCGCAUGCCUGAUCCAGCAAUACCGCGUGGAGGAAGAAGGCCUUCGGGUUUUAAAGUCCUUUUGUUAGGAAAGAAAAGGAUCUGGUUAAUACCCCGCUGUACUGACGGUACCGUAAGAAUAAGCACCGGCUAACUACGUG